Molecule: ribosomal RNA, 566 nt
Filed under: fuel tank bacterium A1
Lineage: Bacteria
Description: bacterial SSU rRNA
Rfam family: Bacterial small subunit ribosomal RNA
Source: RNAcentral
UCCUACGGGAGGCAGCAGUAGGGAAUCUUCCGCAAUGGACGAAAGUCUGACGGAGCAACGCCGCGUGAGUGAUGAAGGCUUUCGGGUCGUAAAACUCUGUUGUUAGGGAAGAACAAGUGCUAGUUGAAUAAGCUGGCACCUUGACGGUACCUAACCAGAAAGCCACGGCUAACUACGUGCCAGCAGCCGCGGUAAUACGUAGGUGGCAAGCGUUAUCCGGAAUUAUUGGGCGUAAAGCGCGCGCAGGUGGUUUCUUAAGUCUGAUGUGAAAGCCCACGGCUCAACCGUGGAGGGUCAUUGGAAACUGGGAGACUUGAGUGCAGAAGAGGAAAGUGGAAUUCCAUGUGUAGCGGUGAAAUGCGUAGAGAUAUGGAGGAACACCAGUGGCGAAGGCGACUUUCUGGUCUGUAACUGACACUGAGGCGCGAAAGCGUGGGGAGCAAACAGGAUUAGAUACCCUGGUAGUCCACGCCGUAAACGAUGAGUGCUAAGUGUUAGAGGGUUUCCGCCCUUUAGUGCUGAAGUUAACGCAUUAAGCACNCCGNCUGGGGAGUACGGCCGCANGC